GUGGGCCCCGGAGGCUCCGCCUUCCCACCCGGACUGCGCCUGCGUCCCGCCCUCCUCGGCCCCGCCCCCUGCGCGCCGAACGUGGGCCCUGCUCCCUCCAUGGCUUCCGGCGAAGGGCGGUCCCCGAGGCCCUGGAGCUGCGCCCCAACGAUCACUGCUGUCAACCUGCUAACGACACCCAAGUAGAUCUACAGCAGUCAUGUUUCAGCCCAAGAGUGACUGAAGUAAAGGCAGUGUCUCUCAUUGAGAUGAAUAGCACCAGGAUCCCAGAACCCUGUAACCACUAUAGAAGCCCAAGAUGAAAGACUACUUGGAGACAGGUCCGGCUUUCCAGCUGUCACAACUGAACCCAAUUCACAGCUGACCCUACAGCUGA
Balaenoptera acutorostrata (minke whale) is the source of this 376-nucleotide long non-coding RNA. RefSeq lists it as uncharacterized. The record is from RefSeq and is a predicted model, not a curated record. NCBI's taxonomy places the organism in Eukaryota, Metazoa, Chordata, Mammalia, Artiodactyla, Balaenopteridae. The transcript is spliced from 3 exons.